This 166-nucleotide ribosomal RNA is filed under the name uncultured bacterium. Its description in RNAcentral is "partial 16S rRNA". It matches the Rfam family "Bacterial small subunit ribosomal RNA", at positions 355 to 511 of the family's 1533-position model. The record is from RNAcentral.
UAGGGAAUCUUCGGCAAUGGGGGGCAACCCUGACCGAGCAACGCCGCGUGAGUGAAGAAGGUUUUCGGAUCGUAAAGCUCUGUUGUAAGAGAAGAACGUGUGUGAGAGUGGAAAGUUCACACAGUGACGGUAACUUACCAGAAAGGGACGGCUAACUACGUGCCUG